CCUACGGGUGGCAGCAGUGAGGAAUAUUGGUCAAUGGCCGCGAGUCUGAACCAGCCAAGUCGCGUGAAGGAAGACUGUCCUAUGGAUUGUAAACUUCUUUUGUCAGGGAAUAAAAUCAGGCACGCGUGCCUUUCCGCGUGUACUUGAUGAAUAAGCAUCGGCUAACUCCGUGCCAGCAGCCGCGGUAAUACGGAGGAUGCGAGCGUUAUCCGGAUUUAUUGGGUUUAAAGGGUGCGUAGGCGGAUUGUUAAGUCAGCGGUAAAAGUCCGGGGCUAAACCGCGACGAGCCGUUGAAACUGGUGUGCUUGAGAGGUGGAGAGGUAUGCGGAAUGCGUGGUGUAGCGGUGAAAUGCUUAGAGAUCACGCAGAACGCCGAUUGCGAAGGCAGCAUACCGGCGGCGAUCUGACGCUGAGGCACGAAAGCGUGGGUAGCGAACAGGAUUAGAUACCCCAGUAGUC
This 459-nucleotide ribosomal RNA is filed under the name uncultured bacterium. Its description in RNAcentral is "partial 16S ribosomal RNA". It matches the Rfam family "Bacterial small subunit ribosomal RNA", at positions 338 to 795 of the family's 1533-position model. The record is from RNAcentral.